This is a long non-coding RNA of Lagopus muta (rock ptarmigan), 9654 nucleotides long. RefSeq lists it as uncharacterized. The transcript has 6 exons. Lineage: Eukaryota; Metazoa; Chordata; Aves; Galliformes; Phasianidae. The record is from RefSeq and is a predicted model, not a curated record.
GUGUAAAUAUCGUUGUGUUGUUCCUGGCUCCUCAGAGGACUCAGAGUUGCUGUGAGUUGUGUGUGUGUCCAGGUGCAAAUGGCUCCAGCCUGUGACUUUCUCUGGGACAGCUGACAACAGCAUCUGAUAACGUUGCCAAAGGCUUCCAGUGAAUCAUGGAGCUGGAAAAAUCUUGUCCGCUGUCAGAUUUGUCCAUUUGUCCACUGUCCAUUUGUCAGAUGUUCAAAUAUCAUCUCCCUGAUUCUGGGAAAUUAGGAACAGUGAAGCCGAGGUCUUUUUGAAGUGUAUUACGCUAUCCUUCUGAUGUUGGUGUUAUUUUUUAAGUGCAAAAACUGCCGAGCUGACGCCAGUUAUCAGGAAGCACCAGAAUAAAACUGCACACUGUGGUGCUGCUCUUAUCCAAGAGCAUGGAGCUCUGCUGAUGCAUCCUGCUCCACAGAGAGCUGAGAUGGAGUGAGAAGGAACAAGAAAAGGACCGUGACAAGGAACACAUCUGAAGGCCUUCACUGCAAGCCCAACAGGCAACAUGAUGGGAACAAUCAAACUCCAGGUGUGGAGCCAAUAUGCCCCUGAUUGUGACAGUGCGUGUGGAUCGACUGCUGAAAACCUCAUCUGUAUGAAACAGGCUUCAGAGCUGACACUAAGAGCUCUUGGCUUGAUUUGACUCAUGAUCUAACAGCAAGCAGAAACUGGAAGUUCUGCUGUUGCUUCUGUCAUGGUGGCGACAAAGGCUCGCGCGUGUCUGAGCACUGACUGCAGACUGACAGCCCUCUCUCAGUUACUUAUCAUUUAAAAGACAUAGUAAGAAAAAGGGUUAAUACAGCUUAUCUCUGUAUCCAACUCACUAGUUUAGGUGCUAUUUGCUUAUUUUGGAGAGGUCAAUAAGUUGGCUACAAAGCAGAAUGCUGUUUUUCAAAACCACUCAAGAACAACAGAUAGAGUGAUUUCACGGAUUGUGGUUUCACCAUACUUUUAUUGCCACCUGUGCCUGUAUUUCAAGGCACACUGUCUGGUCUGCCACUGUGCACUAUCAUUCAGUAAAUAUCCAUGCCUGCAAAUAAAUUAAUUCAGCCAAAGACGUGGCUCGAGGCAAUUUUUGCAAACAUGAGUUCCUGAAGUGUCAUUCCAGAUUCUGGAAAAGCUACAGGCCUUCAGAAAAAUUUAACAUCUGUGGGACAUGGAUUCUUCCUGCUGUGUUUUGUGUAGUGCUAGGGUUUGCAAUGGGUUUUGGUCUCAGCCAGGCCUGCUGUGAUAGAAGCAAGAGAAAAAGUACUUGCAAAAUAGGCAUUUAGAAAGUUCCAGGCAUGUCAAGAGAGUCCGUUUUCCCUCAAAAUUAGCACAGCUGAAGAUCUAAUAAUCUCAAAUCAGUCAGGCACUGACUUCCCUGGGGUUAUUCCUAUUGAUAAGCACCUGUGCUGAGUCAAACCAUGUGGACAGUGCAAAAAAGAAAAAAUCCCCUCUUCUCACAUUCAGCAAGGACUGGCUCCUGUAGCCUGGCGUUUGGCAGCCCCCUGGGACUUGGAGCUGGAAGGAGAUUUCCAUAUUGAAAAUCCAAGGAUCCGGUAAUUCAUGUUCCUCUGCAGCACUUACUACAAGCACAUCAGCGUAUCAUCUUUUUUUGAUACAUCUGCCCUAACUUUUCUGGAGAUCUAGUGUGUUCGUAUCUAACCAGAUCAAGAUUUACAAUGAGAAUAUUCUACCUCUAAAUAAACUUCCCGGCAUGGAAGAAGCUGAAAGCCCUUGAGUCGGUUUUGAGAUUCUUGGAUUGCAGAAAAGUAUUCUAAUUGGUUGUUUUGCUGCACUGAUAUAGUGGGUAACUCCUAAAAUUAACUUGUCAUUCUUUGAAGGCUGCAAUUCUCCAAACUUGAUGAGCCUGUGAUGAUAAUUAUUGAUCUGGAGAGGUUUCAUUUCUGAAAAGUCACUUUAUGCUGCCCUUCUCUCUGCCAGCCAUUGAGCCACUGUAAUGCAGUAUCAUCCCUCUGACAGUGCUUAAAUAAAAGCAGCUGAGUUAUGAUGCGUGACAACUUCGUGGAAGCUUCCCUGGGCUGUUCCCAUUUGUAUAACUAGAGGCCCAGAUUUGCCAACUAAAGAAACAGUCAGGAAUCAGUUUUAUAACCUGAGGAAUGUGUGGCAUCUUCCUUCUUAGCUUUCUGAACUCUUUUGCUGAUACUUCUGUAUUACCAAUUCAUCCCAUCCGAUUUCAGAUACUUUGUUUAGGCGCCGGCCAGUGAUGUAGUCACUCUAGAUUCCCUCAAUCAUCUCUGGAAGACAGAAAGACCUCUCCAGGCAUUGCUUCCAUCCACCUCAAAUGCCAGCCAUUGUCUGAGGGCACCAUUCUCUCUCCAUUGAAUGCACAUAAACCUUAGAGAGAUAGUGCUCCUCAUUCAGAUAUGUAAGGGGCCUACAGCCGAGUGGAAAGAGAAAUCCCGAUCCAGGUUUCCUGCUGUACUUUGAAGUGCUUUGAAAAUGCCUAAGAUGACUGAAGAAGCACAGAGAGCAGGGGUUUGCUCAUUCACCUUGAAUCAAAAUAAUAACAAUAAUAAUAAUAAUAAUGGCUUAUCUAAAUAGUGACUGUUACUCUCACUGUAGCUCACCUCAAGUGAUUGCAUUGCUUAGGAGCAGGUGUUUCUCCAAAGUCUGCAGAGAGCUCUGUCAGCUGUUUGCUUGGAGGGGACAAAAGGACGGGGAAUGAUGUAGUGCUUACGUCAAUACUGCACUGUCCUGCAACCACACGGAGCUCUGCCCCAUACCCAAAUACUGCUAGUAUGGUUAAAAAGCAUAUAUACAUUUAAAAAUGCUGCUAUCAUUGCUGAGUUCUACUGCUAAUUGACUUGCAUGCUUCCCUUUUGUUUUUGUCCAUGGAUCCUCUGUGUGCCUUAAUGCUCUCACCUCCAUUCUCUGCUUUGAAGUCAUGAGCAGAUGCUGACAGGAAGAGCUUCAAAUUAGGUGAUCUACAGUGAUGCUCUCUCCUUAUCAGACAGCAACAAGUAUACCCAACAAUUUACUUACAGUCUUGUCAGGUGUAUUUUAUACAUCAUUUGUUAGAGGAAUAAAAUGCAUCCUCUCCUCAUUUAGUUGCAAGCAUAGCAACUAAGCUAUUACAGCACAGAUGUCAGGUUUUGCAAAUGGAUCAUUUCCAGUUUACUCCCAUGCAUUACCCUAAUCAAAACUUCCAGCGUUCCAAGGAACCCUCUGCUUUCACACAAAGUGGAGGCAAAAAUGAUCCCAAGCUGAAAUAGGAGGCCAAUUUUGUCCUUGUGUCAAAAGACUGCCAGCUAGGGAAGAGCAAGGUGUUUGGUUCCCAGUGUCACUCUUUACACCAUGAAGCUGCAAAAACAACCCUCACUGCUGGGGUCAUCUCUGCCAGCUCAGCUGAGAGGACUGGCAAGGAGUGAGAUACACACUGAGGACAGUGGCCGAUUAUUUUCAUGUCAGUAAUACACUGAGCACACUCAGUUUACCAGGGAAGAAGCAGAGCUUUCAAGGGGCUGGGUACAGCCAAGGAGAAUGCUCUUUUGAUUUACAUCUUCUAGCACUCUUGUCACAUGCAUAAGUGCUAUGAAAGCAGCAUGUCUGCGGAUGAUGGUUAUUGCAGCUCAGAAUACAUUACUGAUUUCUUUAAAAAGUCAUUUUCACAGAGGAAUUGAUCAAAUGUAACAAAGGCUGUCUUGGCUCACAUGCACAGAGAACAGCUCUGGCUCUCAGGAACCGUCAUAAGGUGAGAUACAGUUGGUACAAGCCAGUAAUACUUCAGAAAUACCUGACACCACUUGUGGAAACAUAACCCUCGGAGGCUAUGCAGUCUACCAACAUGCUAUUCUCUGCAACUUGUCCUUACUUGCCACCGCCGUGUUUGAAACUGUUUGCCUAAGUGGAUAACUGUUCUGUUUUCAGAUUUCGGUUCACUUUAAGACCUGCAUCCACUUCAGGCUCCGCUUCUCCCAGCACCGCACACAGCCACAUCCCAAACAGCAGAGCCCACUGUCCGUCCCGGACCCUCAGUGUCUGUCAGUCCGUGUGCUGCAGCAGCCCAGAGGCAGCCAGCUGGCACUGGGGUGUGCAGCUGUGGGCACGGGGCUGUGAGUGCAGCUGGCCGCGGUCACAAGGCUCCAGGAACAGGCGCUGGAUUGAACGAGGAACGGCGUGGCUGCAGCCGCUGUGUCUGCCACGAGGGUUUUGUUUGAGUAGUUCUUAAGCACGGCUGCUCUAGCUUUCUGUGUUGGCAGAGAGAGAGAGAAAAAAAAAAGGGUGAUGCUGAGGUCAGUCAGCUGGGGUUGAAGGAAAAUGCAGGGGAAAUUCCACACUACUGAUCAGACUUGUACUACCAGGUCAGGCAUCAAGAGUUCGUGUAGGUAGGUGUAUCUGGGAUUUUCUGGGUACUUCCAGAAAGUACAAGAGCUCAGGAUACUCAGAAUUAUUCAUUUAGUCCUUCUAUUUCUUUUCGAACAGGAUUGAAAUCUAUCAGAGAUGUAUGAAAGCUGUGCCCUGUUUUUCCUCUAAGGUUUGCAUUAAUUGAGGGAAAAGGGAUGACAGAAAGAAUAUCAGGCUUAAUGGAGUUUGGAAUAGCUUUAUGUAGUCAUUAAGCAGCAUAAAAUAAUACAUCUCCAAUGGCAAGCAUUGUCUCUAUGGCCAAACGCAGGGCUCUGAAGGUCAAGGCAAUGCAGAGAGCCGUGAAUGGCAUAUUGUCUAUAUCUGUGUGCAUGACUUAUUGUCACUGUGCUUACUGCCUCCCUUUUCUUAGUAAAUUCAGUCAACGUACAGAGCUUUAAUGGUUACUUCAUCAAUAUGUGGUGCUGUAGAAUUGUCUUUAUUUGCUGUAUAUUGCUGCUUAUCAAAAGAAAUGUCUCACGGGGAUGCAGCAGAUAUUUGUAGCAUUCUUUUUGCAACUAAAUAUUAAUCUUUUAAGCUGAAAGAUAAAGUGAAAUAAAUUAAUCUUUUAAUUUUAGACACCUGGCCUUUUCGUAAGUAGUCAGCCUUUAAAUUCUGUCGUUUACUUGUGCUAAAAAUGAAGAUUUUAUUAGAGAUGAGCGGGGCUGAACAGUCACUGACAAACCUGACACACACCAAUUUACUCCUGAGAAAGCAAUUACUGUCUGUGAAACAAAGAGACGCCCAAUGCAGCAUUCAGUUUGUGGAAGUAAGGUCUUACUUUCAUACCAAGACCAGUUUACAAAUCCGCGCUCUUCAGAGAAAGAAACUAGCAUAAAGAAAAACAUAAAGAAUGAAGAGUCAAGGAGAAUAUCCUGAUAAACAUACUCUGUCCAGCUGAGCAAGGUAUGGGAGCACCCAGCACUUGCACCACAGUGCUAGUCAUGGAGCUGACACAUUGGUUACUCACAUGAAGCCUAUAUGGAAAAGCAGGAACAUUCUUAUCUUGAAAAUAUGACAUUUUACUUGGUAGAAUGAAGGUGCUCCUUAGAUCCAUGGCUAUAGGAAGCACUUCUGUUCGGAUUUUUACCAUGUCUACUGGCUGAUUCAGAAACUGGAAUGAAAAAUCCAGGGCACCACAAUGACUUGAAAUAGCUCUAGUUUAAUGUGGUAGCUUAGCAUCAAGCAUGAGAAAAAGUAGGCAAAAACACUUCCUAUAUAAAGAUAUGCAAUACUGCAUUUUUACUGCAUUAAUGUCCUGUGGAUCAGUCUCUGUGAAGUGCCAUUGUGCUAUGGAACGUGAGGGAGUUCUAUAAUGUAGCUUAACUUCAUCAUAAAUGUGUUUUCUGGACUUGAACAAAUGCAUGUUUAAUGAGGGAGGAGGGACGAUAGGGCUUGUCAAUUUGCAGCAUUGGGAUAAUGAAGAACAGCCAUUUUGCAACUUAACAGUCAAUUUGCAACAUUGGGAAAUGAAUGGAGGUUCACUUCCCUGGGAUCAUUCAACAGAAAGACGGGGGUAAUAUGUUUACCCAAUAACGGCUCUGUCUAGUGGAUGUUUCUGCUGUAGUGGGCUUCAGAUGUGGCCUUUAGGGAGACAGCUAUCUAUCAGAGCAAAAGUGUAGAACCAUUAUUUGAUUUUUUUUGCAAAUGGUGUUUCCUUCCAUAUAGCAGUAAUGGCACUUUUUCCAUUGGGAAUUGCAGCUGAUGUCAAGUGGACGAUGUGCACCUAUAGAAAUGAACUAGUGGCUUGAGAAAAGAGCAAACUGUUUGUACAACAGUAGACAGACCAAUGUCAAAGAGGUUCAAAUACUCAUCUGAAAGGAUCAGUGUACAAGAACAUGGCAGCAGCUCUUGGUCUGCUGCCGUCCUUUGAACGCAGGCCUUAGUAGGACAAGCAGAGCUCAGCUCCCAGCCCCAGAGAAGGGAACUGAGAUAGAGUGCUUUUUUCUCUGCAUUUUAAGUCAGGCUCCAAUCAGGAUUUUAAUCACAUCUUUAGUGGAACUUCCAACCUAUGGGUAAGACCUCUCAUUUGCUGAUCACCUAGCCCUCGCACACUGAAUGUGCCAGCCCAUCAGUGCACACACCUGGAGCACCCCAGGGAUCCAGCAGACAUUGCCAGGUUGCAGUCAGACCUGGCAUCUGUCUGUGGCCGUGGGUAUCUGUCUCAGAAGGGCUUUCUCAGCACCAGAAUGAUUCCCAGAAGACAGACAAAUGUGUCAGACGUCUGUGUGGCUUUCUGGUUUUCAGCCCUAGUGCUGGCUGCGGUGUCCUUGGGUGCACCUUUUAUUUACGAAUAACUUGUUCUGUCUAUGCUGCCAACUGCUCCACAUUCAAAACUGUCAUAAAAAUGUUCAGGGCCAGUGGUCAUCUCCCUGUCUUUGGUAGUUCUCAGGAAGCUUGUUUUGAUGGCAGCAAGUCACAUCCUUAGAGCGUGCUUCCCUCAUCAAAGCAGAAAUACAGAUAAGAAAAAGAUGUCCAUGGGGAUGUUAGCAGACUGUAUGCUUGGAAGCGACGCAAAAUAACUUGAAGCAGACUUAGAAAACGUUCAGUAUUUACCAUUGCAGUAAAUAGCAAAGGAACAAGAAUAAAUUGUACUGUGAUAGGAUUCUCAACAAGCUAUAGAUCCAUCAUUCUAUCCUUACCCUUGUUUGCUUGGAGUUUCGAAACUUUGCAUGGUAUGUAAAAGUACAAUAAAACAUAUUGCUCGUCCUUUAGGAGAGGCAAUUAUUCUGCUACUGGAGGAAUGCCAGCUUUUGCUUUCCUCCCAGUCGGAGUUGCUUCAAGAUGAAGCCACACUUGUCCUUUAUUUUCCACCCCACGUUUCCAUGGUAACAGCAUGUAACCACUUUUGUAAAUAGCAACUACCCAGUUAACUUCACACAACAUUCAGCUACUUUGAACAUUUUUUGCAUGUUUUUAACCUCCUUCAAAUGUCCCACUCCGUUUGCUUGGUUUUACUACCAGCACAUUUAAUUAUUAGGGGAUAUUUCUGUUUACGUGAUCUUCAGUGAUGCAGCAGCACUGCAUGUGUGUGAGUGUGCACUGUGUGUACGUGUCCAGGCGCACACACAUACGCACAUCAUUUACCUAUGAUGAACAUUCUCUGGCACAUUCCAAUGUAAAUCUUUAUUUUACAAUUUCUUAUAACUGAAUUCCAUUUCAGAAAAUUCUCUUGUGCUGAUAAUUUGAAGUUUGAGCAUUUUGUCACUUGUAGCCAGGUAGAAGACAGCAAUACUUUGUCUUCAAGGAGAAGAUUCUUACAGCUAUUUCAGCAGCAAACACUGGGACAUUUAUUCUGUAGGGCACAUGGGUCAAUGCCUUGCUGUCACAGACAAGACUUUUUGCUGUCCUACUCAACACAUAUUUGGCCAAGCUUUAAUCCUCUGAAAAAUUUCAGCUCUCACAUUGCCUUGCUAAAAUUCAUAGUUUGAAUUUGCUUACAUUUCCAUUUGCACAAAGCACUGUUUAGUCCUUCAGGACUCCUACGUGCUGCCUGGCUGCAUGUGCUCCAUCCCCACGUGACAUCAGCCCGCUGCUGUGGCUCUGCAUGGCACAUGAUCAACCACUGCAUUUGCUUGGGUCCAGUGUAGACUGGAGACAAGAAAUGAAAGCAGAAACAGAGAGAAAGAAAAGGAAAAGGACUCUCCUGUGAGACCUUCACAUGUAGUUAACAUUAAACAGUUGCAUAAAGGCUUUGUCGAGUAAGGAUGUGCUGCAUGGUUUUAACAAAGCCAUUUCCCUACACUUCCCAAACUGCCUUGCAAAAUAAAUGACUCGUCUUCUUGUUUCCAUCCGUUCAGUCCAGCUUAUACAUGCAGAAUACCGCUGAACGUGGAAUUAUAAAUCAAGAAUGUAGCUUUUGCUUGACCUGAGUAAGUAGUCAAUAUUGGAAUCUUGUCAGUUGCUUUCCAAUAGAAGAAGCAGAGAACAGAGUAGUGUGUUAUUUUGAUGUAGCCCUUGUGAUUUACAAAGAAUAUGCAAAGGUCCAUUUCUUUGGACAGAGGAAAAAUUAAGCUUCAUUCAUAUUAUCUAGUCUCUUUCAGUUAGCCAUUGGCCAGAAGAGUUCAUCCUGGCGAUGAUCCCAAAGCUAGUCCUGACAGCUUUCUUUGGAUUCUCUGUCUCCCUGCUCUCCUGGACAGGCACACACAAUGCUUUCAAACACUAUCAGCCUGCCUACUGCUGCAGUGGCACGUAGCUGUCUGUGAAAUCCCUUUAUCCAUGCAGCAUGGAUUGCUGAGCAUCACUGACUGUAGACUUCAGUUCAGGUGUUGGCUUUUUCACCAUUCCAUUUGAUAAGCAAACGUAAAGUCUAUUCUAGUUUCCACAGCCUAUUCUAUAAAGAAAUGUAUGUUUCCUACAUUUAUCCUGCAUAAAUGGCAACAGUUUAUAACCACAGAUUCCAGAACAGGGCAGGUUGAUGACAGAGAAUAUUAAUUGGCUUCUUCUUCCAAGUGUUUUUCCUUGUUCUCUCGAUUCAGGCAACUGAAGACAUUACUUUAUAAAACUCUGUGGGAACUGUACUGAUACUAGUUUGUAUGACAGUCAACAUUUAUCGGUAGUUUUGUAGUUAGUUUGCUUCCAUUUAAUGUUAAAGCAGUCUAAUCAGCAGAUGAAGGAUUUCACCUAAUGGGUUUAUAUUCAUUUGUGUAGUCGCAGAGUAGAAUUGAGCAGUCUACAAGGCACUGACAUUUACACACAUUUCAAAUUCUGUUUUGAUUUCAUUCUUGGCUUUCAGACAUUUGAUUUGGAUCAUUAUCAAGUUGUUACUGUGUUUGCUGUUGUACACUUUUGUUCUCCAAUACAGUGGAAACAGCAUUUAAUCUGGUUAUUUAAUUACAUGUAUUAACUACUUUUACCAUUUUAUGCUUUGGAAUUAAGAAUGUUGUAUUUCUGUUAAGAAAAAUCAUUGAGAGCAAGAGCUGAGGCAAAGCAUACUUUGUUUAUGCUAGGUAUGCAGAAAAUAGGCAUGCAGUGAGGGAAAAUACUCCUGAUGCUCUUAAAACAGAAUCAAAAAUAAUGGUUUUGCUCAGUAAUACAUUUUUCAUUCCUGAAUCUGAGCUAAAGCUGUGCUACAGCUGGUGCCCACGUUCUGUUUUGGUUUUGUGUACCUGAUGAAUGUAUCUGUGAUGGGCCUGUGGUUCUGGAAAAGCAUGUGUCCUAUACAUCAACCUCAAGAAAUUAAACUCCCAUUAAAAGAGAAUGUGCCCACUGUUGAGAAGAGAGGAGAACUGGGCAAAAUGGCAUGCUAUAUUUAUGUGUUAUGUGUGUCAGCAGGGUUGUAGCAGA